Molecule: ribosomal RNA, 595 nt
Filed under: uncultured bacterium
Lineage: Bacteria
Description: bacterial SSU rRNA
Rfam family: Bacterial small subunit ribosomal RNA
Source: RNAcentral
CCGCGUCUGAUUAGCUGGUUGGCGGGGUAACGGCCCACCAAGGCGACGAUCAGUAGCCGACCUGAGAGGGUGGCCGGCCACAUUGGGACUGAGACACGGCCCAAACUCCUACGGGAGGCAGCAGUGGGGAAUAUUGCACAAUGGGGGAAACCCUGAUGCAGCAACGCCGCGUGAGUGAAGAAGUAUUUCGGUAUGUAAAGCUCUAUCAGCAGGGAAGAAAAAAGACGGUACCUGACUAAGAAGCCCCGGCUAACUACGUGCCAGCAGCCGCGGUAAUACGUAGGGGGCAAGCGUUAUCCGGAUUUACUGGGUGUAAAGGGAGCGUAGACGGCAUAGCAAGUCUGAAGUGAAAGCCCGUGGCUCAACCGCGGAACUGCUUUGGAAACUGUUAAGCUGGAGUACUGGAGAGGCAAGCGGAAUUCCUAGUGUAGCGGUGAAAUGCGUAGAUAUUAGGAGGAACACCAGUGGCGAAGGCGGCUUGCUGGACAGAGACUGACGUUGAGGCUCGAAAGCGUGGGGAGCAAACAGGAUUAGAUACCCUGGUAGUCCACGCGGUAAACGAUGAAUGCUAGGUGUUGGCGGGCAAAGCCCGUCG